Molecule: RNA transcript, 871 nt
Organism: Musa acuminata subsp. malaccensis (wild Malaysian banana)
Lineage: Eukaryota; Viridiplantae; Streptophyta; Magnoliopsida; Zingiberales; Musaceae
Source: RefSeq, a predicted model, not a curated record
CGCACGCAGCUCUCGCUCCGGCGAUCACGGGAAAUUACGUCACCCGUGAGAUGAAGGACGGCGACGAUCUGCUCCCUUCAUUUGAGGCCACCGGCGGAGUCGCCUCCGCGAUCAGGGUCUCCUCCGCCGCGGACGCUGGCCUCUUCGGUAAGGGCCGCUACAAGUUCUGGGCACUUACGGCCAUCCUCCUCCUCGCCUUCUGGUCCAUGGUCACCGGCACCGUCACCCUCCGGUGGUCCGCCGGCGACCUCAACCGCCUCGACCGCGACCUCAACGCCCCCAUCCACUCCGAUCUCGACGCUCUGGAGAUGGAGGAGAGGGAGAAGGUGGUGAGGCACAUGUGGGACGUGUACGCCCACAACCACCGGAUCCGGCUGCCGAGGUUCUGGCAGGAGGCGUUCGAGGCAGCCUACGAGGAGCUCGCCGGAGACGAUCCCGCCGCCAGGGACGGCGCCAUCGCCGAGAUCGCUCGAAUGUCGGUGCGGAUGGUCGAUCUGGAGGACCCUGCCCGAAAUACCAAGGCUGCUGAAACAAAUAGGAAUCAAGGGGUUGGAGGUGCUGAGCUUUCUAUGAGGUCGACAUCGUUGCCGUCUGUAGAAGCUCGAUGAUGAUCCUACUGCAUGUAGCAAACAACAAUCUCUAAUGACAAUUGUUGCUUUGUCAACAACACAUGCCUACUACAAUCUUCAGCAGCUGCUUGCCCAAGAUACAAUAUUGAAAAGCUUCCAGCUUCUCGUCCUUUUGUCUCAUCUGUUCUGCCAAUGGUUUUGAAGCCAUUGUUGUGAUUGUUUGAAGUCAUCUUCAGGUAUUUCUAAAACGAAAGACUUACAGAAUAAUGAAAUGAGAUCAAACAAACCACCAUUCUCUUCCA